Molecule: unclassified non-coding RNA, 187 nt
Filed under: uncultured Lactifluus
Lineage: Eukaryota; Fungi; Basidiomycota; Agaricomycetes; Russulales; Russulaceae
Description: sequence contains ITS1
Source: RNAcentral
UCGUACAACAGGGGGUGCCGGGGCUGUCGCUGACCUUUUAAGGUCGUGCACGCCUCGAGCGCUCUCACUUACAAUCCAACUCACCCUUUGUGCAUCACCGCGCGGGCUCCCUUUUAAAAAGGGUGGCUUGCGUUCUCACAUGUACACCCUUUUUUAAAUGUGAUAGUGUAGAAUGUUAAAAUCAAUA